Long non-coding RNA from Oncorhynchus tshawytscha (Chinook salmon), 1175 nucleotides. RefSeq lists it as uncharacterized. The transcript is spliced from 3 exons. The record is from RefSeq and is a predicted model, not a curated record. NCBI's taxonomy places the organism in Eukaryota, Metazoa, Chordata, Actinopteri, Salmoniformes, Salmonidae.
GGUAAAAUGAGAAGAGGGAUCAUUCCUUGUUAUAGACAUGUACAUACUGCACUGCACUGCACAUCAUGUACUGUACUGUCUCAAUUUCUGAAGAUCAGAACAGUAGAGGGAAAAGGGGAUGAGGAAAAGGUCAAGAUGCCGUAUCAGUUUUUAAAUUGUAAUAUGUAUCAUUUUCAGUUGUGAGUGACCCUUCAUGCUUUGAGUUUGUAUUAAUCUGCAUGUCUCCCUCUUAGCUGGCCUCAACCAAGCAGCUCUAUCCCAAAAGCCACAAACUCCUCAAUGUCACCUACACCACUUCCUAGAGAAAUAGUGCGUGUUUAGGGUAUCAGCCAGGCCUGGCACCUUUGCAUCCGAGCCAGACCGAAGCCCCUGCGGUGGACGAGUGGUUUCAGCACAAGGAACAGGCCGACCGCCACCACAGUGAGGCACCUGUCUUCUCUCCAGGCGACCGGGUCUGGCUCUCCACCCUCCGCCUGCCCCUCGGCCUGCACUGCCGGAAGCUGAGCCUGCGGCCAGUGGUGCCUGGUCCCCUCGCUGAGGCUGAACCCAGGUCCGGCGUACUCAGUCCGUGAAGUCCUGGAAUCGAGGCAUUUGGCGGGGCGUCUCCAGUACCUCAUCGACCUGGAGGGGUAUGGCCCAGAGGAGCGGUGCUGGGUUCCUGCGGUGGACCCGCACCGCGUCCCUGUGGUUGUCCCUGAGGCCGGUGUCAUCCCGCAGUUAAUAUGGGCAGUCAGUAGUUAGUCAACUUACAGUAAAUGGAAAAUAUGAACAAAUACCAACAUGUUUUUAAUCAAGUUAAAUAUUUCUUUAAUACACAACACAUCCCAACUGUGUCUGUAAUGAGUAAUGGUUUACAUAUUUACCUUCUGAACUGAUGCAUGUGGUGGACAGCAUUCAAAGUUUUGGCUGUAAAAUGGUAGGUUUAAUCUAUUUGUGCAUGGAGCAUUAGACACAUAUGGAGGGCAUGACACCAUAUGCUUUGGACACAGCACAUACACAGAAGCACAUAUACUACUGCCUAAUGAGCACAAAGUUAUGACCCAUUCUAAAACUAACAAACAUCCCCGCCCUCUAAAAUGGCAGCACGCAGACACACUCAUGGAAACAAACACAUGCACACAGACUCAUUAACCUGGUUUGCUCGCUACCACUCAGGGUAAAACAGAAAGAGCACU